CUAAGAAUCUUGCGCAAUGGGCGAAAGCCUGACGCAGCAAUUCCGCGUGGGGGACGAAGGCCCUCGGGUCGUAAACCCCUUUUGCGAGGGAAGAAGUUCUGACGGUACCUCGCGAAUAAGACACGGCUAACUACGUGCCAGCAGCCGCGGUAAUACGUAGGUGUCGAUCGUUGUCCGGAUCUAUUGGGCGUAAAGAGCCCGCAGGCGGCUUGCCAAGUUCGAGGUGAAAUCUCCCGGCUCAACCGGGAGGGUGCCUCGAAGACUGGGAGGCUUGAGGCAGGGAGAGGGAUGUGGAAUUCCCGGUGUAGUGGUGAAAUGCGUAGAUAUCGGGAGGAACACCGGUGGCGAAGGCGGCAUCCUGGCCCUGUCCUGACGCUCAGGGGCGAAAGCGUGGGGAGCAAA
RNAcentral lists this ribosomal RNA (402 nucleotides) under uncultured bacterium. RNAcentral describes it as "bacterial SSU rRNA". It matches the Rfam family "Bacterial small subunit ribosomal RNA", at positions 355 to 772 of the family's 1533-position model. The record is from RNAcentral.